CCUGGUGGUCGGAGCGCAGUGGUCCCACCCGUUCCCAUCCCGAACACGGAAGUGAAACGCUGCAGCGUCGACGAUACUGCUGCCUUGCGGCAGUGGGAAAAUAGAUCACUGCCAGGG
This 117-nucleotide ribosomal RNA is filed under the name SAR202 cluster bacterium. Lineage: Bacteria; Bacillati; Chloroflexota; Dehalococcoidia. The record is from RNAcentral.